Molecule: ribosomal RNA, 495 nt
Filed under: uncultured bacterium
Lineage: Bacteria
Description: partial 16S ribosomal RNA
Rfam family: Bacterial small subunit ribosomal RNA
Source: RNAcentral
AUGAACGCUGGCGGCGUGCCUAAUACAUGCAAGUAGCACGCUGAAGGAGGAGCUUGCUCUUUCCGGAUGAGUUGCGAACGGGUGAGUAACGCGUAGGUAACCUGCCUGGUAGCGGGGGAUAACUAUUGGAAACGAUAGCUAAUACCGCAUAACAGUAGAUAUUGCAUGAUAUUUGCUUGAAAGGGGCAAUCGCUCCACUACCAGAUGGACCUGCGUUGUAUUAGCUAGUUGGUGAGGUAACGGCUCACCAAGGCGACGAUACAUAGCCGACCUGAGAGGGUGAUCGGCCACACUGGGACUGAGACACGGCCCAGACUCCUACGGGAGGCAGCAGUAGGGAAUCUUCGGCAAUAGACGGAAGUCUGACCGAGCAACGCCGCGUGAGUGAAGAAGGUUUUCGGAUCGUAAAGCUCUGUUGUAAGAGAAGAACGAGUGUGAGAGUGGAAAGUUCACACUGUGACGGUAUCUUACCAGAAAGGGACGGCUAACUACGUG